CGAACGGGUGAGUAACGCGUGGGUAACCUGCCUUAUAGCGGGGGAUAACUAUUGGAAACGAUAGCUAAUACCGCAUAACAAUAGAGAUUGCAUAAUCUUUAUUUGAAAGUGCCAACUGGUACACUAUGAGAUGGACCCGCGUUGUAUUAGCUAGUUGGUAGUGUAAUGGACUACCAAGGCGAUGAUACAUAGCCGACCUGAGAGGGUGAUCGGCCACAUUGGGACUGAGACACGGCCCAAACUCCUACGGGAGGCAGCAGUAGGGAAUCUUCGGCAAUGGACGAAAGUCUGACCGAGCAACGCCGCGUGAGUGAAGAAGGUUUUCGGAUCGUAAAACUCUGUUGUUAGAGAAGAAUGUUGAUUAGAGUGGAAAAUUAAUCAAGUGACGGUAUCUAACCAGAAAGGGACGGCUAACUACGUGCCAGCAGCCGCGGUAAUACGUAGGUCCCGAGCGUUGUCCGGAUUUAUUGGGCGUAAAGCGAGCGCAGGUGGUUUAAUAAGUCUGAUGUAAAAGGCAGUGGCUCAACCAUUGUGUGCAUUGGAAACUGUUAGACUUGAGUGCAGUAGAGGAGAGUGGAAUUCCAUGUGUAGCGGUGAAAUGCGUAGAUAUAUGGAGGAACACCGGUGGCGAAAGCGGCUCUCUGGACUGUCACUGACACUGAGGCUCGAAAGCGUGGGUAGCAAACAGGAUUAGAUACCCUGGUAGUCCACGCCGUAAACGAUGAGUGCUAGUUGUUUGGGGCUAUCCAGCCCUAAGUGACGCAGCAAACGCAUUAAGCACUCCGCCUGGGGAGUACGACCGCAAGGUUGAAACUCAAGGAAUUGACGGGGGCCCGCACAAGCGGUGGAGCAUGUGGUUUAAUUCGAAGCAACGCGAAGAACCUUACCAGGUCUUGACAUACUCGUGCUA
Molecule: ribosomal RNA, 910 nt
Filed under: uncultured bacterium
Lineage: Bacteria
Description: bacterial SSU rRNA
Rfam family: Bacterial small subunit ribosomal RNA
Source: RNAcentral